Molecule: transfer RNA, 67 nt
Filed under: Testudo graeca
Lineage: Eukaryota; Metazoa; Chordata; Testudines; Testudinidae
Description: tRNA-Glu
Rfam family: tRNA
About the family: Transfer RNA (tRNA) molecules are approximately 80 nucleotides in length. Their secondary structure includes four short double-helical elements and three loops (D, anti-codon, and T loops).
Source: RNAcentral
AUUUUUGUAGUUGAAUACAACGGUGGUUUUUCGGACCAUAGGUCUUGGUUGAAUCCAGGCAAGAAUU